Cucumis melo (muskmelon) is the source of this 1523-nucleotide RNA transcript. RefSeq lists it as uncharacterized. The record is from RefSeq and is a predicted model, not a curated record. Lineage: Eukaryota; Viridiplantae; Streptophyta; Magnoliopsida; Cucurbitales; Cucurbitaceae. The transcript is spliced from 11 exons.
GACAAGUGAGGCCCAAAUAAGGCCCAUAUGCCAGUGCCAUGCUUUGAUUCGUACCGCGUUAACUCAUCAAUCGGGAAAAAUGGAGUGCGCCGGCAAGGGACGUGGAACUCGUUGCACCGGUUCGGCCACCCGACGGUGUGGUCGCUGUGGAGUUGUUGCUUACUGUUCAGUCGAUCACCAGGUUAAACAUUGGAAUGAUCAUAAAGAUGAAUGCAAAAGGUUUGAACUACAAAUGGAGAGAAUUGAUGCCUUGAAUGAGUUUCCUUUCACAUUUUCUGAGGAGGCUACUGUUCAGUUAUGUCAAAAACAGGAGAGUAGAUGCUCAUUCUUGAGCAAAAGGGCAAUCCACAAAGUUGGAAUGUGGUUUUACGAAUGUCCUUGUGGGGAAGCUGCUACAUCUUACAAUUUCUCAAGAUUAAAUGAUGGUUGGGUUCUACCUAGACUCCUUUGUCCAUGUAGUGAACCGCUUUCACCAAUAACAAAACGCUUACACAGUUGGAAGGACUAUUAUGAUUGGAGAUGCAUCCCCCUUCACUCUCCUGCUGCUUUGCUUCUUCAUUGGCCACUUACAAUAAGUUAUGCUGUGCAAGUUGCUGGUUUGGAGCCCUUGACUCCAGAAUUUGGCGACACAUUAUGCAUACAUUAUCUAGGGCCUGAGAAGGAGCUUCUACAGCUCUCUGUUUUUGCUGAGCUACUUGCACUUUUCCCUGGGGUGGCAUUACAAAUAGAGUUUUUUGGGCCCAAUAUCCCCGAAGAAAUGAAUGGUAAGACCAUUCACCUUUGCAGUUUUGCUAAGUGCCUUCAGAUGGAUUGUGUUUGCAAAUCUUCAUGCAAAGAUGUUGACAGGAAUGUAUAUUCUAAUAAAUAUCCACGGCUAGUGUUGAAGCUUCAAACAGGGUUUUACCAUGAUUGUUACAAAGACAUUACCAAAGAUUGUUAUCCUCACUUAAUCAUUGCUCCAAAUGCUGGGAUCGCUGCUUAUUCCAGUUGGCUUCCUACCAUUCAUAAUUGUUUAGAUGAAUGUAUCAGGAAUUCAUUAAGGAAAUAAAAGUCCCAGCAAUCUUUUCUGAUUUCUGUGAAGAAGCUUGCCAUCUUGGAGCUUCUUGUUUGAGCAGUGUGAUAGGCCGCCCCAUUACUUUCCCGAUCCAAUUAAACCCAUUCCGACAACCAAUAGCUAUGGAAGACACUGCCCUGUUUCUUCCUUGUUAUUCAAAUUGCUUCCUCUAUGGAUUCUAAAACUUGUUUAAACUUUACGGUAGAGGAUUGAUUAGGUGAGUCAAGUGGUUGCUUUUUUUUUUUUUUUUUUUUUUUUUUUUUUUUUUUUUUUUUUUUAAUUAAGAGAAGAGGAUAUAUUAAGUUUGCCUCCGUUGAUAUUAUAUCUUGAGAUUUUGCCGGCUUAGGCAUAUGAGCAACCAUGUGCUCUAUGAUUGAAGGUAGUUGCUUACAGACUUGGUCCGUUGCUUUUGUUUUAGUGUAAGAAGUCUGAAGAAUUGAACUUCUAAUUUAACAUUAUUAUUAUUCCA